UGAGGAAUAUUGGUCAAUGGACGAGAGUCUGAACCAGCCAAGUAGCGUGAAGGAUGACUGCCCUAUGGGUUGUAAACUUCUUUUAUAUGGGAAUAAAGUUUUCCACGUGUGGAAUUUUGUAUGUACCAUAUGAAUAAGGAUCGGCUAACUCCGUGCCAGCAGCCGCGGUAAUACGGGGGAUCCGAGCGUUAUCCGGAUUUAUUGGGUUUAAAGGGAGCGUAGGUGGACAGUUAAGUCAGUUGUGAAAGUUUGCGGCUCAACCGUAAAAUUGCAGUUAAUACUGGCUGUCUUGAGUACAGUAGAGGUGGGCGGAAUUCGUGGUGUAGCGGUGAAAUGCUUAGAUAUCACGAAGAACUCCGAUUGCGAAGGCAGCUCACUGGACUGCAACUGACACCGAUGCUCGAAAGUGUGGGUAUCAAACAGG
This 424-nucleotide ribosomal RNA is filed under the name uncultured bacterium. RNAcentral describes it as "bacterial SSU rRNA". It matches the Rfam family "Bacterial small subunit ribosomal RNA", at positions 355 to 776 of the family's 1533-position model. The record is from RNAcentral.